CUCGUAAGCAUACAUUUUUCUUUUAAAACUUUCGCUAUCUUGUCACUAACAUCUGUUCAACAAGUUCAAAAAGUUCUAUAAAGGUGUAUCGUUGUGUGGUAUUAGUCAAAUGAACCAUGGUGAAAUUGUGAUAUUUGUCGUAGGAGAAAUGCAUCAACAGUAAAAUCACAAAAAUACUGAACUCCGAGGAAAAUUCAAAACGAAAAGUACCUAAUCAAAUGUUAAAAUCAAAUGAUGAAACAGAUGAAACGAGUGGACACAACAACCGUAUAACGACUUAUUUUAGCUGGUGUAACAUUUUGCGAUUUCCAUUGAAUAAGGUACAUGAAUAUGAAAUAUUUUGGCGGUUAUUAUUUUGGCGGAUACAAAACUUUUAUCAAUACCUUUGUUCUAUCUGCGACAAUAUGCGAAAAUUGGCAUCCCGCGAAAAUAACCCGCUAUACGGUAUACUAUUUCUGAAUUGAUCAUGUUGAUACAGGCAUUUUCAAUGUAGAAAAGGGUGGAUUGAACCUGUUUUUAUAGCGCAUAACUUUUAUAUUGUAUGAAAGUCGCAUCAAAUU
This 560-nucleotide long non-coding RNA is filed under the name Mytilus galloprovincialis (Mediterranean mussel). The record is from RNAcentral. Lineage: Eukaryota; Metazoa; Mollusca; Bivalvia; Mytilida; Mytilidae.